Molecule: non-coding RNA, 3538 nt
Organism: Callithrix jacchus (white-tufted-ear marmoset)
Lineage: Eukaryota; Metazoa; Chordata; Mammalia; Primates; Cebidae
Source: RefSeq, a predicted model, not a curated record
CAGCCAGGAGCAGACAGCGCACAGCCAAUGAAGGUAGAACGGCAGAGAAUUGGAUGUGAUGAGAAAAACGUUGCUGUCCCUUGCUUCAGGAUGCUUCUCAAAUGCCAAGAAUUCUACCCUGGCUAGCCCCAACAGACAAGAUGGCCAAAGUCAUCACUGCCCCAAGGUGGCACUGCCAGGAACUCUCAUGCCUGCCGACCCCAUCCCCCUCCAGGUGUGACUGGCCCCUGGACAGGUUAAGAGAACACCCUUCUCGGGGAAGAAGAUCCAAGAUGACUGAAUAGGAACAGCUCCAGAGUGCAGUUCCCAGCAAGAACAGCAUAGAGGGUAAGUGCUCACCGCAUUUCCAAACAAGUUUUCACUGCCCACAGACCAGGAGAUUCCCGGGCUGAAAAGCGCCACAAGUUUUCAGUGUGGUGGUUUCAGCCGGCGCCAUGUAGGCCUACAGAAACUCACACGUCUGGGCUGCCUUUUCAGCUGGCGCCCUGAACGCCUGGGAGACAGAGCCGCCCAUUUAACUGAAAGGGAAGGGGCUAAGACAGGGAGCUGGCUCAGCGGGUACAACCCUCACAAAACAAGCAAUUGGAAAUGCUCUGGAUUGAGAGUUUCACAGCAAGCGCAGCUGGACCCAGGACCAUCCAGCUCAGUGGGAGGAAGAGUGUCCCCCACUACCUAGGCAGUUCACACAGUGCAGGGCAGAUCCUGCAGCAGGCAGCUCAGCAAUGCCUCUGCUGGCAGACUGAGACUAGACUACUCCGUGUGGGUUAGGGCAUCUAUAAAAAAAGGGCAGCAGCACAACAGGGACUUUUAAAUAAAGCCAACCUUCCUAGGACAGAGCAUCUGGGAAAAGAGAUGGUUAUGAGUUCAGCUGCAGCAGACUUAAAGGUACCUGCCCAGCAGCUCUGCACAGAACAGCAGAGCUCCCAGCACAGCCCUUGAGCUCCUGUAAGGGACAGACUAUCUCCUCAAGCAGAUCCCUGACCCUUGUAUACCCAAAGAGACACCUCAUAAAGGGGAACUCAGGCCAACAUCUGGCAGAUACCCAUUUGGGACGAGGAUAGAAGAGGAAGAAACCUGUGGCAACCCUUGCAGUUCUGCAGCCCCUGUGGGUGAUCCCCAGGCAAGCAAGGUCUGGAGUGGACCUCCAGCAGUCCUGUAGCAGAGGAACCUGACUGUUAGAAGGAAAACUAAGAAGCAGAAAGAAAUAGCUUCAACAUCAACAAAAAGGACGUCCACUCAGAGACCCCAUCUGAAAGUCACCAACUACAAAGACUGUCACCACUCCUAUUCAAUAUAGUAUUGGAAGUUCUAGCCAGAGCAAUUAGGCAAGACAAAAAAAAUAAAGGGUAUUCAAUUAGAAAAAGAGGAAGUCAAAUUGUCUCUAUUUGCAGACAACAUGAUUGUAUAUUUAGAAGACCCUAUCAUCUCAGCCCAGAAUCUCCUUAAACUGAUAAGAAACUUCAGCAAAGUCUCAGGAUACAAAAUCAAUGUGCAGAAAUCACAAGCAUUUCUAUACACCAAUAACAGAGUAAUGGAGAGCCAAAUCAUGAGCGAACUCUCAUUCACAAUUGCUACAAAGAGAAUAAAAUACCUAGGAAUACUAACAAAGGAUGUAAAGGACCUCUUUAAGGAGAGCUACAAACCACUGCUCAAGGAAAUAAGAGAGAACACAAACAAAUGGAGAAACAUUCCAUGCUUAUGGUUAGGAAGAAUCAAUAUCCUGAAAAUGGCCAUACUGCCCAAAGUAAUCUACAGAUUCAACACUAUCUUCAUCAGGCUACCAGUGGCCUUCUUUAUAGAACUGGAAAAGAAUGACCUUAAACUUCAUAUGGAACCAAAAGAGAGCCCAUAUAGCCAAGACAAUCCUAAGCAAAAAGAACAAAGCCAGAGGCAUCAUGCUACUUGACUUAAAACUAUACUACAAGACUACAGUAAACAAAACAGCAUGGUACUGGUACCAAAACAGAAAUGUAGAACAAUGGAACAGAACAGAGGCCUCGGAGGUAAUGCCACACAUCUACAAUCAUUUGAUCUUUGACAAACCUGACAAAAACAAGCAAUGGGGAAAGGAUUUCCUCCUUAAUAAAUGGUGUUGGGAAAACUGGCUAGAAGUAUGCAGAAAGCAGAAACUGGACUCCUUCCUGACACCUUACACUAAAAUUAACUCCAGUUGUAUUAAAGACUUAAACAUAAGACCUAACACCAUAAAAACACUAGAAGAAAACCUAGGCAAAAUCAUUCAGGACAUAGGCAUAGGUGAGGACUUCAUGACUAAAACACCAAAAGUAUUGGCAACAAAAGCCAAAAUAGACAAAUGGGACCUAAUUAAACUUCAGAGCUUCUGUACAGCAAAAGAAACAUGAUUAGAGUGAACCAGCAACUAGCAGAAUGGAAAAAAAAUUUUGCAGUCUAUCCAUCUGACAAAGGGCUAAUAUCCAGAAUCUACAAAGAACUAAAACAGAUUUACAAGAAAAAAAAUAAACAAACCCAUCCAAAAGUGGGAGAAGGAUAUGGACAGACACUUUUCAAAAGAAGACAUAUAUGAGGCCAACAAACAUAUGAAAUAAUGCUUGAGAUCACUAAUUAUUAGAGAAAUGCAAAUCAAAGCCACAUUUAGAUACCACCUCAUACCAGUUGGAAUGGUGAUCCUUAAAAAAUCUGGGGACAACAGAUGCUGGAGAGGAUGUGGAGAAAUAGGAACACUUUUACACUGUUGGUGGGAGUGUAAACUAGUUCAACCAUAGUGGAAGACAGUGUGGUGCUUCCUCAAGGCCCUAGAAAUAGAAAUUCCAUUUGACCCAGCAAUCCCAUCACUGGGUAUAUACCCACAGGAUUAUUAAUCAUUCCAUUAUAAGGACACAUGCACAUGUAUGUUCAGAGCGGCACUGUUUACAAUAGCAAAGACCUGGAACUAACCCAAAUGCCCAUCGACGAUAGACUAGGCAAGAAAAAUGUGGCACAUAUACACCAUGGAAUACUAUGCAGCCAUAAGAAAUGAUGAGUUUGUGUCCUUUGUAGGGACAUGGAUGAAUCUGGAAACCAUCAUUCUCAGCAAACUGACACAAGAACAGAAAAUCAAACACCGCAUGUUCUCACUUGUAGGCAGAUGCUGAACAAUGAGAACACAUGGACAGAGGGAGGGGAGCAUCACACACUGGGGUUUGUUGUGGAGGGGGGGCCAAGGGAGGGACAGCGGGGGGAGGGGUGGGGAGGUCAGCAAGGGAUAACAUGGGGAGAAAUGCCAGAUGUGGGUGAUGGAAGGAUGGAGGCAGCAAACCACAUUGCAUGUGUGUACCUAUGCAACAAUACUGCAUGCAUGAUCUGCACAAGUACCCUAGAACCUAAAGUACAAUAAAAAAAGAGAACACCCUUCUGUGGUAUGAACCUGGACACUUGCUCUCCUCUCUCCCAUGUUUAGCCAUAACUCUGAUGUUCCCGACUUCAAUUCUUUUAUCACUCACAUGUAUGCUCAUUCCACAAAUAUUUCUUGAGCUUCUACCAUGUGCCAAAUACUCUGGAGAUGUAGAUUAAGGAAAUA